RNAcentral lists this ribosomal RNA (397 nucleotides) under uncultured bacterium. RNAcentral's name for it is "partial 16S ribosomal RNA". It matches the Rfam family "Bacterial small subunit ribosomal RNA", at positions 523 to 918 of the family's 1533-position model. The record is from RNAcentral.
AUACGUAGGGGGCGAGCGUUGUCCGGAAUGAUUGGGCGUAAAGGGCGCGUAGGCGGCGCGGUAAGUCUGGAGUGAAAGUCCUGCUUUCAAGGUGGGAAUUGCUUUGGAUACUGCCGCGCUUGAGUGCAGGAGAGGUUAUCGGAAUUCCCGGUGUAGCGGUGAAAUGCGUAGAGAUCGGGAGGAACACCAGUGGCGAAGGCGGGUAACUGGACUGCAACUGACGCUGAGGCGCGAAAGUGUGGGGAGCAAACAGGAUUAGAUACCCUGGUAGUCCACACUGUAAACGAUGAAUGCUAGGUGUAAGAGGUAUCGACCCCUUUUGUGCCGGAGUCAACACAAUAAGCAUUCCGCCUGGGGAGUACGGCCGCAAGGUUGAAACUUAAAUGAAUUGGCGGGG